Long non-coding RNA from Magnolia sinica, 597 nucleotides. RefSeq lists it as uncharacterized. Lineage: Eukaryota; Viridiplantae; Streptophyta; Magnoliopsida; Magnoliales; Magnoliaceae. The transcript is spliced from 6 exons. The record is from RefSeq and is a predicted model, not a curated record.
UUCUGUUUGUAUUUAUCUAGAUAUGGUAGCUCUCAGCUUCAGCUACACCGUUAUGCAACCGACCGUGAAUCAAGGGUCAUUACUGCUCUUACCCUUUUGAAAUCUCAUCUUUUUAGUUACCAAGGUUAUGUUAGUGCUGCUUUAGUGCUUGUCGGUGUUGAUUUUACUAGACCUCAUUUGCACUAUAUACCCUCACGGUUCAACUGACACUCUGCCAUUUGCAACCAUAGGUUCUGGUUCUCUUGUUGCGAUGACCAUCUUUGAGUCAAAAUACAGAGAGGGCCUGACUAUAAACGAAGGAAUAAAGCUUGUGUCUGAGGUGAUUUGCUCUGGAAUUUUCAAUGACUUGGGAAGUGGUAGCAAUGUUGACGUUUGCGUAAUAACCAAGGGCUACACUAAGUACUUGAGGUAACCACCAGUUGCCAAAUCCUCGGACCUAUGUCAGUUCAAGGGGUUAUUCCUUUACUAAGGGACAGACUGGUUAAAGUUAUGAAGGAGAGUGUAGUGCCUAGAGUAGUGUAUGUACCCACUGCCAUUGUCUGGAUGGCACCUGCAAGCACAGAGCAGCAAUCACUUGCACCAGUAGCCCCUGCUUCA